CCUACGGGAGGCAGCAGUAAGGAAUAUUGGUCAAUGGACGAAAGUCUGAACCAGCCAUGCCGCGUGAAGGAUUAAGGCCCUCUGGGUUGUAAACUUCUUUUAUCUGGGACGAAAAAAGGGUAUUCUUACUCACUUGACGGUACCAGAGGAAUAAGCACCGGCUAACUCCGUGCCAGCAGCCGCGGUAAUACGGAGGGUGCAAGCGUUAUCCGGAUUUACUGGGUUUAAAGGGUGCGUAGGUGGGCUUGUAAGUCAGUGGUGAAAUCUCCGGGCUUAACCCGGAAACUGCCAUUGAUACUAUAGGUCUUGAAUUAUCUGGAGGUAAGCGGAAUAUGUCAUGUAGCGGUGAAAUGCUUAGAUAUGACAUAGAACACCAAUUGCGAAGGCAGCUUACUACGGAUAUAUUGACACUGAGGCACGAAAGCGUGGGGAUCAAACAGGAUUAGAUACCCUGUAGUCCACGCCUAAACGAUAGAUACUCGACAUACAGACGAUACACUGUUGUGUNUG
This 510-nucleotide ribosomal RNA is filed under the name uncultured bacterium. RNAcentral describes it as "bacterial SSU rRNA". It matches the Rfam family "Bacterial small subunit ribosomal RNA", at positions 338 to 847 of the family's 1533-position model. The record is from RNAcentral.